Molecule: long non-coding RNA, 2397 nt
Filed under: Homo sapiens (human)
Lineage: Eukaryota; Metazoa; Chordata; Mammalia; Primates; Hominidae
Description: HSALNT0131490
Source: RNAcentral
GGGGUGUUUGGAGCAGGGAAGGGACCCAGAAGGAAAGGGGGGGUGCUGUGGAGUGACCAGGAAGAAUGUGGGCUUUUUCUGUUUCCUGGGAGCUCUGGUGAGGUUUGUAGGUGAUGAGCUCCCCCUCUUUUCCGUCCAGGAGCUGCAGGAUCUGCCAAGAGAGGCUGGGGAGGUCCUGAGACCCUUCCCUGUCAGAGAAGAAGAGGCAGAGGGUGGCAAGGGCGUAAGCAUGGCUUUCUCACCCAUUCCCAGGGGACAGGAGGCAUCGGGAGAGUGUCCUGCGUGGGGGAACUGUCAGAGGGGAGGAUGACAUCGUGCCCCCUGCACCUCCAGCCCCCAAUAAUGUGAGGAUGCGCUAAGUUAGGGAAGUGAGGAAAAGGCCCCACUCCUCCUAGCAGAUUUCUGAACUGAGGUGAGGUCUGAACUGGUGGAAAGAUGAAAUUUUGAUUUCAGUCUAGCUGGAAUUUAUUUUAAAAAUCUGCAAAGGAUGCUGUUCUAAAGCUGAAAAGUGACUGGAAAAGCUCUGAGAUGCACCUGGGGUGUUGUCUAGAAGUGGGGAAGGAAGCUCUGGCACAGAAGUUCGGGAAGUGUGGGGAGACAGAAAUUCAUUUCCCCCCAUUCAGAGGGCCAGGCGCAAGUUUCUGCUGAACACUCUCCCGUCUCUUCCAACCUACACCUACAGCCCUGCAUCUUCUCACUGAAAACAUUUCCAUCUUCUGGGUCAACAGCCGCACUUUUUGUGGUGUGUAGAAACGAGAUACAGGGGCCCCCAACACCCAGUGUGUUGGGUGCUGUACAGGAGUGAGCGUUGGCGGCAGCCGGGGCUCGGCUCACCGCCUCAGGGUACUGUGUGUACACAGGAGUCAGGAGUAAGUCACUUUCCCAGCCCGUGAGGCAUCAUUUUAGAGCUGGUUUCUCUACUGUACCAAUGUCCCUGUUCUGCCUGGCCUUUGUCUGCAGCCCUGCUCCCUUCCCUGGCUGUCACCAUUCCAGGAGCUGCCCUCCUGUGCUCUGCACUGCUCCCAUCCACCUGUCCCCGCCCCAGACUGUGGGUGGGAGCCCGACCUGCACUCUGGCUGUGCUGGAACAAAGCGUCAGGGCUUGGUCACCAUCAGCCGCUGACCACGGUCUGCUCGGGCUGCUGGGAGACCAGGCUGUGCUGGGGAGUUCCCGGGGAUCCUGGCGCCUGCCAGGAACCUGAGCUAGGUAGGUGGGAAGUAGUUGUGAGCAAGACUUACGGCCUCACGGUGAUGGGAACAGGAAGGUUCAGCUGCCAGAUGCACACAGAGUAGUCAGCAGCGCGGCCCUGGGCUCUCAGGCUUGGGGUGAAACCCUGAUCUCCCCAUUUCCAGCCACGUGGCCUUGCUCACCUCUCCAGCCUGGGUCUAUCUGUGGAAUGGGAUGCGGUGGUGCCGACGCCACGGGGCUGUUAUAAAAAUGCUCGUUUCAGCUUGGAACUUACACCGGCCCUCCCCGUGCUCCCUGAGUGGCUGCUGUGCUGGGCCUGAGGGCUGCUUGCUCCUUCCCUCACUGUUCCCAAGCUGUCGGCUGCCCUCUGAGGUCUUCAUUUGGGGGCGGUUGUACUGAGACGUCUGCGGACUCAGGCUCCGCGAGGGUGCGUUCUCCUGGGGUCUCAGCUCCUUGGUCUGACGGGCCUAUUUAAACUCCUGACAUGCAGUCAGCACUCAGAUGUUUGACGGGCAAGUGAGCAAACGAACAAAUGAAUGAAUAAGUGCCUUAGAACACUCAAGGCAGAUACACGUGGGCAGAAAUGAACUUCCAGAGGCCGCCACAGCCUCAGUCGUUUCCUGUUGCAAUAUUGUCUAUGGAAUGGCUGAGCCAAGAACUGAAAGGUUCCGGUUCCUCUCCCCGGAGUUUGGACAGCACCAAGCUGUAGCAGUAGGGUCGUAUGCAACACAGAGAAGGCCAUUUCUGUGGGAGAUGCUUCCAGUGGAACUUUGGAGUCUGGGCUGAGCUUGUCGACAAGGGUCUUGAGCCUGUUGUUUAUUAGAAUUUGGCUGCAGGGUUAGCUCUUCCUCUGACAUGGUUCAUCCCAUUCAUCAGAUGAGUAAGGAGUUGUCCCCGGACUAUAGACCUGCGCUGACAUCUCUUGCACAGUAAAGAAAAGGAAAAAUUCAUAGUUGUAUGUUGUGGUUUUCAGUAUCUUUAGUUUACAAGCCAACUGUUUAUCACAUCAGGACAUUGAUCUAUAAAUAAAUUUGAAAGCAGUGAUACAUCUGGGCCUUCGCGGGCCUCCAGUUGAGGCAAUGAUCUAUAAAUAUGUUUGUCUGUGUCGCUGAUCUUUUGUUAUUAAUGUUGCGGCUUUCAUCGUGGUUAUCAAUCUCACCCUGAUUACCAGAGUCUUUGCAAAACACUUUGUUCCCUGACCAGGCCUCG